GCACCCAGCACACUGAGGUGAUGUCAGAGCAUAGGGAGCACUCAGCAUACCUAGGUGAUGUCAGAGCACAGGGAGCACCCAGCACACUGAGGUGAUGUCAGUGUAUGGGGAGCACUCAGCACACUGAAGUGAUGUCAGCACGGGGAGCACUCAGCACACUGAGGUGAUGUCAGAGCACAGGGAGCACUCAGCACACUGAGGUGAUGUCAGUGUACAGGGAGCACUCAGCACACUGAGGUGAUGUCAGAGCACAGGGAGCACUCCGCACACCUAGGUGAUGUCAGAGCACAGGGAGCACCCAGCACACUGAGGUGAUGUCAGUACACGGGGAGCACUCAGCACACUGAGGUGAUGUCAGUAUACAGGGAGCACUCAGCACACUGAGGUGAUGUCAGUGUACAGGGAGCACUCAGCACACUGAGGUGAUGUCAGAGCACAGGGAGCACUCCGCACACCUAGGUGAUGUCAGAGCACAGGGAGCACCCAGCACACUGAGGUGAUGUCAGAGCAUGGGGAGCACUCAGCACACUGAGGUGAUGUCAGUACAUGGGGAGCACUCAGCACACCUAGGUGAUGUCAGUACACAGGGAGCACUCAGCACACUGAGGUGAUGUCAGAGCACGGGGAGCACUCAGCACACUGAGGUGAUGUCAGUACACGGGGAGCACUCAGCACACUGAGGUGAUGUCAGAGCACAGGGAGCACCCAGCACACUGAGGUGAUGUCAGUACACGGGGAGCACUCAGCACACUGAAGUGAUGUCAGUGUACAGGGAGCACUCAGCACACUGAGGUGAUGUCAGAGCACAGGGAGCACUGAGCACACUGAGGUGAUGUCGGCGACACGUCAGAGAAGCAGGAAUACAGUGAGGAAUCUGAGGAAAGACGCACGGAGGAACUGUGACAGUGUGAACGCCACAGAAGUGCUGUGCGGGACGCAGAAUUGAAGGGGAAACGCAGAAAUGGCAGAGGUCGGAGAUAGGGGAGGAAGCGGAAAACAUGGCGGACAGGCACGGGAGACCCAGGCAGCACGUACGCUGGGCUGUUACGUGAUGUGUGUCCGUGUGUAUGAAACACGCGUGUUCCCUGUCCGUGCCCGCAGACUGCACUGCUCUGGGACGCAGGAGUCUGUGACAGUGAGAGCCACGUCCCCUGUGCUGUGUGGCAUCGGUGUGGAUUACUGCACAGGGGGACAAGUGUGCCACAUGGGAGAGAAACCUCGGCUCCCAGGCACAGAGACCACGUGCUGUGGGUGGGUGAAACCCAAGUGGGCUCCAGACUUGGCAGGCGAUGCCUUAAGCCAGGAGACGGGAGGGAACCCGGAUGGAGCAACCCAAAGAAGAAAACCCAAGUAGGUGUUCUGUCUGCGGCCACCUGACUUCCGGUGCAGGAGCCACGGAAGUCACCUGACACGCUGGGCCACAGGACCCGAUGUCCCGAACCCCUCCCCAAGGACCUUCUGGCAGCCACGGGAGGGAGAACCGCUGGUGUGAGGCUGGGGAGGCUCGUAGGACCUCAGGGUGCAUCCUGUGUGCGUGACCCUGCUUUCCCAGAAUUCCACGAGCGCUCCUGACCACACAUGGCUGUCAUCCUGUGGAUGGGAUUCCAUCUCCCUCUGCGUGGCUGUGGAGUUGGGACCCCCAGGGCCCCUGCCCCGGGAACCCACACUCGGGUACUGCCACGUCUCCGCCGCAGGGUGUGUAUCGCUGGGUCUGCUUCUGGUAGUGACUGGGAUUCUUCCUGUUUUAAAUGCCCAGA
This is a non-coding RNA of Oryctolagus cuniculus (rabbit), 1757 nucleotides long. The record is from RefSeq and is a predicted model, not a curated record. NCBI's taxonomy places the organism in Eukaryota, Metazoa, Chordata, Mammalia, Lagomorpha, Leporidae.